This 472-nucleotide ribosomal RNA is filed under the name uncultured organism. RNAcentral describes it as "partial 16S ribosomal RNA". It matches the Rfam family "Bacterial small subunit ribosomal RNA", at positions 332 to 797 of the family's 1533-position model. The record is from RNAcentral.
UACACUCCUACGGGAGGCAGCAGUAGGGAAUCUUCCACAAUGGGUGCAAACCUGAUGGAGCAAUGCCGCGUGAGUGAAGAAGGUCUUCGGAUCGUAAAGCUCUGUUGUUAGAGAAGAACACGUGCUAGGUAACUACUAGCGCCUUGACGGUAUCUAACCAGAAAGUCACGGCUAACUACGUGCCAGCAGCCGCGGUAAUACGUAGGUGACAAGCGUUGUCCGGAUUUAUUGGGCGUAAAGGGAGCGCAGGCGGUCUGUUUAGUCUAAUGUGAAAGCCCACGGCUUAACCGUGGAACGGCAUUGGAAACUGACAGACUUGAAUGUAGAAGAGGAAAAUGGAAUUCCAAGUGUAGCGGUGGAAUGCGUAGAUAUUUGGAGGAACACCAGUGGCGAAGGCGAUUUUCUGGUCUAACAUUGACGCUGAGGCUCGAAAGCGUGGGGAGCGAACAGGAUUAGAAACCCGGGUAGUCCC